AAGACCGUACUUUCAGGGAUCAUUUCUGCAGUUUCUUAUAGAGAAGAGUCUCUGACUGUGUAGGGUAUCCUAGACCACAAGACCAAGGAGGAGUGUUCCCUUUAAAGUGUGCACCUGGCUUUUCCGGAGUGCUGCUUUUCCGAAGCUGCCACUAUCUGUUGAUGAUCCUUCUUCUCUUCCUUUGUUGGGGGGGCGAAUGCAGUUUGAGUGGA
This is a small nucleolar RNA of Myodes glareolus (Bank vole), 212 nucleotides long. RefSeq annotates it as small nucleolar RNA U3. The record is from RefSeq and is a predicted model, not a curated record. Lineage: Eukaryota; Metazoa; Chordata; Mammalia; Rodentia; Cricetidae.